UACAGAGGUCCCAAGCGUUGUUCGGAUUCACUGGGCGUAAAGGGUGCGUAGGCGGUUGGACAAGUCUGAUGUGAAAUCCCGCAGCUUAACUGCGGAACGGCAUUGGAAACUGUCUGACUAGAGGAAUGGAGGGGAGACUGGAAUACUUGGUGUAGCAGUGAAAUGCGUAGAUAUCAAGUGGAACACCAGUGGCGAAGACGAAUCUCUGGACAUUUCCUGACGCUAAAACACGAAAGCCAGGGGAGCAAACGGG
RNAcentral lists this ribosomal RNA (253 nucleotides) under uncultured bacterium. RNAcentral's name for it is "partial 16S ribosomal RNA". It matches the Rfam family "Bacterial small subunit ribosomal RNA", at positions 524 to 776 of the family's 1533-position model. The record is from RNAcentral.